This 1182-nucleotide long non-coding RNA is filed under the name Urocitellus parryii (Arctic ground squirrel). RNAcentral describes it as "lncRNA (ENSUPAG00010000972.1)". The record is from RNAcentral. Lineage: Eukaryota; Metazoa; Chordata; Mammalia; Rodentia; Sciuridae.
CGGCGGGGCCAGCCCGGAGCCCGGACCCCAGAGCCCGCCAGCGCGCCCCCCCGCCGGCCCCCGCGCGGUGGCCCCAGCCUGCCGGGCGCAGGAGGGAGGCGGGGAUCGGGGAUCGCGGAUCGCGCGCCGGCUCCGGCCAGCGGCGCCCGGCUGCCGCCGGCGGCUGCAGCGGCCGCUCAGCUCCGAGUGCCGGGCGCUCCGGGAAGCCGGCGUUCCUCGGAGGCACMGCGGCCGAGGCCGGCGAGCGCUCCUGGCGGCGGGGCCGCCCUCCCCGGCUCCCCGCACCCACCGUGCCGCGCUCCGCUCGCCGCGCCUCGGCUCCUGUGACCUUCCCGGAGCGCCACCCCCGGCCCCGCGCCCCCGGCCCCGCGCCCCAGGCCGGGGCGAGGCCCUCUCCAGCGCCUUCUCGUGAAGCCGCGGGCGGGCGGCGCAGGCCCGGGGGGAGGAGGCGCCGCGGUCGGCUGCAGCCCCCCCCCAACCCCCGCCGCCGCGCUCGGCGCCCGGCCCGGCCCGGCUGCCUCUGCCCCGCCGCUGCGCUGGAGCUGGGGCGGCCGAAGCUGGGGGCGCGGCUGCGCUCGCCUCACCCGGUCGGCUGCGGGCAGGCCCUGCCCUGAAGGAGCGAAGCGGGGCGAGCGAGAGGUGGAGCCCGCCCCGGCAGCGGACCCAGGCCCCAGCUCAUGCGGGGCGCCCCUGGCUUGGAAGAGUCCUCCGGGCAGAAAGCAGCUCCAGGCGGCGGCCCGGGAGGAAGAGGAAGGGACAGUGCUCAGCCUGGGCAAUCCGGACCUUUCCUGUCGCGUUUGCAGCCCGGGGCUGUCCCGAAGUCUGCUCUUGGCGCCGCUGCUGGGACUAGGGCAGCACCUGCCUGGACCCGGACUUGGACUCCCUGCUCCUCGUAGGCGGCAGCAUCUCCACGCCACCCAGCUCUUCCGCGGUCUCCCUCUGCUUGGGGGCAGUCACGGCCAAGUUACACUCGAAUACAUUCAUGGUGAGAGCCCAUUGACCUUCUUGGUUCCUUACCGUGCUCUUCCGGCCUCAGGUUCGCCUGUCCCACCCGGAGGCUCGGGAUACCAGUUCCCCCCCACCUACCUGUGCAGCCAGGCUCACGACCCUGCUUUCCGCGUCCUCCUCUCUGGAGUCCUCACUGCUGCCCUGAAUUCCUGGCGUCUCUCAUGUUCCUGUUGA